Molecule: ribosomal RNA, 906 nt
Filed under: Triticum aestivum (bread wheat)
Lineage: Eukaryota; Viridiplantae; Streptophyta; Magnoliopsida; Poales; Poaceae
Description: partial small subunit ribosomal RNA
Source: RNAcentral
AUGAUUCGUGAUGAAGGAGGUACAUUUUGUAUGAAAUGGUGGACGGUCACUGCUCAUUUGUGGUCUCUUUUUCAGGAGUCUACGGAGGUUGUUCAGGAGGUACUACCGAUAGGAACAAAGGAAUUCACGUUGGUGGAGAUCAUAGCUGCCACCAACAACUUCGCCCAUGACACAAUGACCAAUUGCGGCAGCGGAGGAAGGGUGUAUAGGGGCAGGCUUCAGAAUGGACGACGGGUGGCCAUCAAGCGCAUGUCAGAAAACAUACAGCUGGAGGACUUCCGCACGGAGCUCGACGUCCUAGCAAAGCUACGACACAAGCAUAUCAUCCCCCUCCUUGGAUGGUGUGUUAGCAUUAAGGGAAAGCGCCUGCUAACCCGGCGAAGAAAGGAGUUAGAAAGGCUUAUCUUGUACCCAAAUCAGGCUGGCUCCUCUAUAUAUAUGCUGUCACCGGUGACCAUGUCUUGCAAUAUGCGCAUCGAUGUGCUCCUCCGUGUUUCACAAGCAAAAAUAGAGUACAUCCACUGUCAUUCCAACCCUCGGAUCAUCCACCGUGACAUCAAGUCAAUCAACAUCCUUUUCGAUGUCAGUUGGGUGCCCCAUGUUUCAGAUUUUGCCUCGUCCGUCGUCUGGGACAUGGCGAGUGAGGUGCCGUGGUUGGAUGUCAUCGUUAGAGGCACACUUGGGUACAUCGACCUUGAGUACCUCCAUACAGGUCAUCUGACUCCGGCUAGCGACGUGUAUUGCCUUGGCGUGGUUAUGCUUGAGGUUCUGACAGGGAAAAGGGCGUUUUCCCAAGCAAAGGAGGAGAUGAAUAGAGAUCUGGCAUCUUUUGCACUCCCCAUGAUUGAGGCCGGUAACAUUGAGGAGAUGCUGGAUAGACGACCUGUACCGGAGCCAACGUCAUGA